This 253-nucleotide ribosomal RNA is filed under the name uncultured bacterium. RNAcentral describes it as "partial 16S ribosomal RNA". It matches the Rfam family "Bacterial small subunit ribosomal RNA", at positions 524 to 776 of the family's 1533-position model. The record is from RNAcentral.
UACGUAGGGUGCGAGCGUUAAUCGGAAUUACUGGGCGUAAAGCGUGCGCAGGCGGUUUUGUAAGCCAGAUGUGAAAUCCCCGGGCUUAACCUGGGAAUGGCAUUUGGGACUGCAAGGCUCGAGUGCGGCAGAGGAGACUGGAAUUCCUGGUGUAGCAGUGAAAUGCGUAGAUAUCAGGAGGAACACCGAUGGCGAAGGCAGCUCGCUGGGACGGUACUGACGCUGAGGCGCGAAAGCGUGGGGAGCAAACAGG